RNAcentral lists this non-coding RNA (459 nucleotides) under Pongo abelii (Sumatran orangutan). The record is from RNAcentral. Lineage: Eukaryota; Metazoa; Chordata; Mammalia; Primates; Hominidae.
AGUGAUGAUGUCCCACCACGAUGCAAGGGCUCUCCUGGCUGGGGCUAGUGGAGGCAGUUUUGAUGGAAGUUAAGGAUUUGCAACUUAGAGGAUUUCUGGGAUAAUUCUCUUAAAGUAGUGACUUCACCAACAGGAAUUCCAGGCCCCCUGGUGUGUCAGCUCAAGGGAUAAGCAGAGUAUGCCAGGUUCCCAGGUGCCAAUGAACAGAGAAAUAGCCAAAGGGCUCGCUGAGUGGCAGCAGAGGAUUGAUUUGUUCAGUGUUUUGAAAUUACCAGGGAAGAGCUUUUGAGGAUGUUUGAGAUCCAUGAUUCAAAACAGGGAGGGACACAUGAGUGGCAGGUGACAUCAGAAGCCACCAGCCAUUCCUCAAAUUGCCAGCUCUGGAGCCCUCCAUCCUGCACUCGAAGGAGAUACUGCAAACCCUGCCAAGGUGUUCAUGCUUCUCAUGCUUUAACAUUU